Schistocerca serialis cubense is the source of this 722-nucleotide RNA transcript. RefSeq lists it as uncharacterized. The transcript has 5 exons. Lineage: Eukaryota; Metazoa; Arthropoda; Insecta; Orthoptera; Acrididae. The record is from RefSeq and is a predicted model, not a curated record.
UAGUUCAUUGUCAUGCGGUUGUAUGGUAUUAUGUUGCGUUUUCUGUGUAAUAUGUAAGUGAUUUGAUGGUGGAGACAGGAAAUCACGGAAAGACGCAUAUUGAGUGUGUGAGCUUGUGUUUCCGCAUUGCGAGCAGGAGGUGACUAGUGUUUAGACAAACAUAUUAGUGCACAUUACUUACCUGUUCUGUUCGGCAAUUACGAAAAAUACCAGAUCGACGUGUGGUGGAUUAGGAGAGCACUCAUGGACUCCAAGGGAACUAGUUGGCUGAAAAAAGAGAAGAAUGAAGUAUAUGCUGAACCAGGCUCCUUGGUUCAGUUACACACAUCCACCAUGAAAGUAAAAGAAGAAUUGGAUGAGCAAGUGAACCAACAGUUUCUUCAAGAUCCACCAAGGAUUGUAAUGCCUAGUCUUCGUAUAAAGCAAGACCUAGAACUGAAACGGGAUUUAGAUGGCAUUGAGCAUGAUGUAAGUUUUCACUUCGGUCAUGCAUUGUGCAUGAAGUACUGUGUGAAUAUCAUGAAAUGCAUUGGGUGCAGUAAAUUCCAAUGAUCAUAAAUGAUGAAACAUUAAAACCGAGGAUAUUAGCACUUCUCCAGAAUUUUUAUGGUAUUUCAAUUGACUGUAGGUAUAUUGUUCUGUUGUGUGUAAUGGUAUUUGAAUGAAACUUGUAGGAAACAUAAGUUUAUUAACUGUAACACAUGGUAAUUUUAUUGUACAUG